UACAAGUCGUAACAAGGUAUCCGUAGGUGAACCUGCGGAUGGAUCAUUACCAACGAUUUUAAUCAAAGUCUUGUGAACUGGUACUGUUGGGGUGCGAAAAAUCUACUUUGACUUUGAGCACCUCAACAGUACACCUACUACUACAUACACAUAUAUAAACUCAAACUGACGUUUACGCUUUAGUAGUAAAUCAAACUAAAGACAACUUUUAGCAACGGUCUCUUGGCUCCCG
Molecule: unclassified non-coding RNA, 232 nt
Filed under: fungal sp.
Lineage: Eukaryota; Fungi
Description: partial internal transcribed spacer region
Rfam family: Eukaryotic small subunit ribosomal RNA (bases 1-49)
Source: RNAcentral